This 1231-nucleotide ribosomal RNA is filed under the name metagenome. RNAcentral describes it as "SSU rRNA". It matches the Rfam family "Eukaryotic small subunit ribosomal RNA", at positions 542 to 1768 of the family's 1831-position model. The record is from RNAcentral.
UAUCCAUUGGAGGGCAAGUCUGGUGCCAGCAGCUGCGGUAAUACCAGCUCCAAUAGCGUAUAUUAAAUUUGUUGCAGUUAAAAAGCUCGUAGUUGGACUUGUGUGCGCUGUCCGCGGGUGGCCUGCGCCCAAAAGGGCGUUUCGGUUCGGCCCCGGUGGCGCCUUGAAAUCUGCAGCUGGGGGGACGUUGGCCUUAACUGGUCGGCGACCGCACGCCGGCUGCUCGGUUACUGUGAGAAAAUUAGAGUGUUCAAGGCAGGCAUUGGGUGCAAUUGAAUACAUUAGCAUGGAAUAAUAAAAUAUGGCUCCUGCCGUAUUUUGUUGGUUUUGACUGGUGGGAGUAAUGAUUGAUAGGGACGGUUGGGGGUGCUAGUAUUGAGCGGCCAGAGGUGAAAUUCAUGGAUUCGCUCAAGACUAACUUAUGCGAAAGCAUUCACCAAGGACGUCCUCUUUAAUCAAGAACGAAAGUUGGGGGAUCGAAGACGAUCAGAUACCGUCGUAGUCUCAACCAUAAACUAUGUCGACUUGGGAUCGGCGGUAGUUUUUUCAUUAAGACACUGUCGGGACCACGGGAGAAAUCAAAGUGUCUGGACUCUGGGGGAAGUAUGGUCGCAAGGCUGAAACUUGAAGGAAUUGACGGAAGGGCACCACCAGGAGUGGAGCCUGCGGCUUAAUUUGACAACACGGGGAAACUUACCAGGUCCAGAGAUGUAGAGGAUUGACAGAUUGAAGCUCUUUCUUGAUCACUUCGGUGGUGGUGCAUGGCCGUUCUUAGUUGGUGGAGUGAUUUGUCUGGUUAAUUCCGUUAACGAACGAGACCUCAGCCUGCUAGUGUAGUCGGCUGGAUUGCCUUUGGCGAUCCGUGAUUUCGACUUCUUAGAGGGACAAUCGACGCGCAGUCGAUGGAAGUUUGAGGCAAUAACAGGUCUGUGAUGCCCUUAGAUGUUCUGGGCCGCACGCGCGCUACACUGCUGGGCUCAGCGAGUUUUACUUGGCCGAGAGGCCCGGUUAAUCUUGUGAAAUCCCAGCGUGCUUGGGCUCGCCUCCUGCAACUGGAGGCGCCAACGAGGAAUUCCUAGUAGACGCAGGUCAUCAACCUGCAUCGAUUACGUCCCUGCCCUUUGUACACACCGCCCGUCGUUCCAUAAGAGUGAGGCAUCCGGUGAAUUCUCGGGAGAGCCUGGGCGUGGCCAGCAAUGGUCUGCUCGGGUUUGAACUUGCAUAAACUUGG